UGAGGAAUAUUGCGCAAUGGAGGCAACUCUGACGCAGCCAUGCCGCGUGCAGGAAGAAGGCGCUACGCGUUGUAAACUGCUUUUAAUCGGGAAGAAACCCCGGGACGUGUCCCGGGUUGACGGUACCGAUGGAAUAAGCACCGGCUAACUUCGUGCCAGCAGCCGCGGUAAUACGAAGGGUGCAAGCGUUAUCCGGAUUCAUUGGGUUUAAAGGGUGCGUAGGCGGAACAAUAAGUCAGCGGUGAAAGCCUGCAGCUUAACUGCAGAAUUGCCGUUGAUACUGUUGUUCUUGAGUACGUUUGACGUGGGCGGAAUGUGCCGUGUAGCGGUGAAAUGCUUAGAUAUGGCACAGAACACCGAUAGUGAAGACAGCUCACGAAGACGAAACUGACGCUGAGGCACGAAAGCGUGGGGAUCAAACAGG
RNAcentral lists this ribosomal RNA (424 nucleotides) under uncultured prokaryote. RNAcentral describes it as "bacterial SSU rRNA". It matches the Rfam family "Bacterial small subunit ribosomal RNA", at positions 355 to 776 of the family's 1533-position model. RNAcentral also lists the same sequence under 1 other name. The record is from RNAcentral.